Molecule: ribosomal RNA, 435 nt
Filed under: Triticum aestivum (bread wheat)
Lineage: Eukaryota; Viridiplantae; Streptophyta; Magnoliopsida; Poales; Poaceae
Description: partial small subunit ribosomal RNA
Source: RNAcentral
AUGAACUGGCAAUGGAUGUACAGUGGUAGACACACCUCCGAGUAUGUUAAGGGCGUGCAUAAUUUUCUCGAAGUGGCUGAGGCAAACAAGCAGAGUGGUUUUAUGUGCUGUACAUGCCCUAUAUGUGGGAAUACGAAGUCUUACUCUGACCGGAAAAUCCUUCACAGCCACCUACUUUAUAAGGGUUUCAUGCCACACUAUAAUGUUUGGACCAGGCACGGAGAAAUAGGGGUUAUGAUGGAAGACAACGAAGAAGAAGAGGACGAUGACAACUAUGUGCCGCCGAAAUACGGUGAUGCUGCAACGGGGGAAGCUGCUGAAGAUCAAGAGGAACCAGACGAUAUUGUGCCCGAUGAUGAUCUCCGCCGGGUCAUUGUUGAUGCAAGGAGACAGUGCGAAGUCAAAAGGAGAAGCCGAAGUUCGAUCACAUGUUAG